GAUUCAAUCCACGCUGCUAAAUUUAGGAGCUGGAAGACUCCAAAGACGAGCCCCUGUCAUCUGAAGGCGAUGCUGCUGGCCACACCGGGUGACGUGGCCCGGGAAGCGGUGGGGACACGUUGUACAGGCUGUGGCAGGGUCGUCCUUCCAGGGGCUUUGUGUCCCAGGGGGACAUGUCAUAGGGUGACCUGGGGCCACCCACGCACUCAGCUCUGCAGCAGCUUCGGGCCGCGGCACGGGGCGGUGGACAACGCGGGAGGACCUAGAACUUGAUGUCCUCUGGGCUGGCAGCUCUAGGAAAACCUGGACAGCCGCGGUCACCCCGGGGUAUGACACGUGUCCCUGCGCAAGGCCAAGUGCAGCCACUUCAACACACCUCCUCCCCGCUGGCUCCUGGGCUCUGCCCUCCCAGCACCUGGGCGACGGGUGGGAGCCCUGGGACUCUCCAGGCUGCGCCCCUCCAGGCCCAGAGGGGACCCCUCACGGGGAGCACAGGGCCCACCCACAUCGGGCAAAGGGGAUAUUGUGCAGAUGGCUGCAAAGGACGGGCCAGGGACAUCACUGUCCCACUGUGUUGGUGGAGGGUGGGAAUCAAGCGUCCUGAUUCAGUUUGUGCACAAACGUCACAUAGCUCAGGUGUCUCCUGCUACCUCAUCCUGUUUUAAUUUUGUCUUAUUCUUCUUGAUCUCUUCCUGUCUUUCUCUGCUCAUUUAUUUUUUUGUUUUUAGCACCGAAAUUUAAGCUCCAAGGGGGCAGGGAGUCUGGUCCAUCUCUCUCACUACUGCAUCUCGCGCGGCAGGUGUAUGAGUCAGCUCUCCGUUACUAUGACAAAAUACCUGAGAUAAUCAACUUAGGAAGGUCUAUUUUGGAUCACCGUCUCCAAGGUUUUGAUGUGUGCGUGUUUGGCCCUGUUGCUUUGGGCAACGGGACAUCAGUGUAUGAAAACACAUGGCAGAGGAGGGCUGUCACCUCGUGAUGGCCAGGAAGAAAACAGGGAGUGAGAAGGUCCCAGUAUCUCCUCCAAGGUCAGCCCCUCCCCUGGGGACUUAAUCCUUUCCAUCAGGCCCCAUCUCCUAAAGGCUCCCCAGCUCUGGCACCACAGGCAGGGGACCCAGCCUGAACAUGGGGGCCUCCUGGGGACCCGAGAUCCAAACUCGAGCAACAGCUGUCUAGGGAGAGCACGCUGUGAAGGUCAUGUGCAGGGGGCUGGCGGGAGGGCUCUUCUGGGCUCCCUGAGCACAGCUGUCCCCACCCCACCUCACUGCCCUGCUCUUGCUCCUCAUGGGUUCAAGGUCAGGGUGACUUAACCCUCCUCCUUUCUCGUCUUUCUGAGCAUCUGUCACUUGGGUCCUGGUCUCCUUGCCCUUGGGGCCAAACCUGGGAAUCCUGGCUGAGGUGAAAGGUCUUGGUCACCACGAGGCGGCUGCCUGCAGCAUCAGGAGGCCCUGGCCCUGGGGUCAGAUGGAGGGACCGAGACACAGUCACCGGAGAGCAAGUGUGGGGUCGUCCUGAACAGCAGGGCCACCGCAGGCCACAGUUCAGUACAUCGGGGUGACCGCAGGUCUCGUAUUACAUAUGUUAUAAGCAACUAAGGAGGAAGGAGUCUCGAGAUUCCCAAUGGGCAGAAAUGUCCCAGGAGGCUGGAACGCUGACCGCCUCCUUGAUCGCCCACCAACCACCACAGCGCCCUGUCACAGCGCCCCGACUCGCCAGGGUCACGACCAUGUCAC
This 1730-nucleotide long non-coding RNA is filed under the name Marmota monax (woodchuck). Lineage: Eukaryota; Metazoa; Chordata; Mammalia; Rodentia; Sciuridae. The record is from RNAcentral.